RNAcentral lists this ribosomal RNA (253 nucleotides) under uncultured bacterium. RNAcentral describes it as "partial 16S ribosomal RNA". It matches the Rfam family "Bacterial small subunit ribosomal RNA", at positions 524 to 776 of the family's 1533-position model. The record is from RNAcentral.
UACGUAGGUGGCGAGCGUUGUCCGGAUUUACUGGGCGUAAAGAGCGCGCAGGCGGUCGUGCAAGUCGGAUGUGAAAGCCCCCGGCUCAACUGGGGAGGGUCAUUCGAUACUGCUCGACUCGAAGGCGGGAGAGGGAAGCGGAAUUCCCGGUGUAGUGGUGAAAUGCGUAGAUAUCGGGAGGAACACCAGUGGCGAAGGCGGCUUCCUGGCCCGUUCUUGACGCUGAGGCGCGAAAGCUAGGGGAGCAAACGCG